GGACGGCGACGCGGGUGAGGACCCGCCGCUCCCUGCUAAGGAGAUGGCGCUGAUGGGCGUGAGGUUCGACUCCUCCGCCGUCCG
Molecule: transfer RNA, 84 nt
Filed under: Phycisphaerae bacterium
Lineage: Bacteria; Pseudomonadati; Planctomycetota; Phycisphaerae
Also listed under: 1 other name
Description: tRNA-Ser
Source: RNAcentral